UUUCGUAUCUCAAUAUUAUAAACGCCUCUACAUAGCCUAAAUCCGCAAUUUUGACAGACUUUGGCCAACGUUUAGUUUUUAUAAAUCAAAUGUAUAAAAACGGAUAUCCUUCACCCAACCGAAAUUUUUGAUGGAAGUAAGGCCAGAUAUUGUACAUAGAUAUAGGAAGAUGUGGUUACGAGUGACAAUGAGACAACUCUCCAUCCAAGUUUUUGCAUAAGUCGGAUACAAUUACUCAUGUUUAGCGAUGACAUUCGAUUCAUAAUUAAAUAAUUCAAUAAUUUAAGAAAAGAACAUUUACAAUGAUAUUUUUAAUACAAUGCUUGCAAUAGCACCAUGAUCUGUUGAAUAACACAUUAACGAUACCUGUAUGGACAUAUGUUGAAAACGUGUUAAGUAUAUAAAACAGACUUUAAUAUUUAAUUUCAGUAAGAUUUUAAAUUUUUAGAAUUUGACACUUAGAAAGAAACAAAUACAGGGUCCUACAUGCACCUUUUUUUAUAGGGGCAAUCCAUUAAAUUACUAACCGAUCAUGUAUGAUAUUGAAAAAAAAUCUCAAAACCGAGUUCGGUUUUUUCAGUCUUUAAAAACUAUAAAGUCAAUUUUUUUUUUAAUUAAAUAUAUGUUAGAGAAUAUGAUAUUAACCCGUUUCUUCCUGAAUAAGUUCAAGCAGUCAGCGAGAAAUGGUAUUUUCGGCGAAUCUAGUACGUUCAACUUGGUGAAAGCCACAAUUGUCCAUGACGACAGUGUCUCUGGGUCGCAAGUAAUAAGUAAAGAAUCGAACUUAUUCCUGUAAUGAACCAGAAAACUGUCAACGAGAUGAAAUUCAUCUGAAGAUCUAUAUUAACAUGUCAAAAUGUUAAAAUAUUCAAUUCCAAAGAGCUCGUGAAGGAAGUUUAUCGUGUGUGUGGCUUUGGAAGCCUAUCUUGUACCUUAGUUAAUUGCCCACUUUUGCAUGUCUAAAUUGUCUAAUUCCGUUUUUUAAUGACAGCUGAUUUGUCAAAGAAAACAAACAACUUUAUUUCAUGUCAUCCUCUAUGUCCAUUCAACAUUGGUAGUCAUUACAUUCGUCAAUGCGUUGACAUUCAAAUUAGAAAAUUAAGAACUCUUGUACUUCGAAGCGGACCAGUAAGGUACUUCUUGGAAUUAGAUAAUGACAUUGUUUACAAAGCGAAAGAAUAGCCUUAAAUAAGAAUCAAUAAUUCCUGUCUCUUUAGGUCCAAUGGAGCUUAUUAUGGCAUGACUGGAGGUGGUAUUGUGUUUAUUGUGCUGGUUGUAGCUUGCUGUUGUUAUGGGUGUAGGUCGAGAAGGCCGAGUGGAGGACAGGUGAUAUCAACUUUUCAGCCAACAGUGCCUUACGCUCCUUACUCUAUUUCACCUGGAGCUCAUCCAUUUGGAAUGACAAACAAUGGUUUUUCGGGAGGACACAAUCCACCAAUUGCCUCGGCGCCAGUUACAAAUGGUAAACGGAGCUCAUCACUGUCAUCGCUAAGCAGUAGUUUAAAGCUAGCGUCAAAUGCGUUUGAAAUGGCAGGAAAUUUAGGAGAAAUUGGUGGAAGCGUGAGUGAAAUAUCUGAAGCCUUUAUGUAAAUUUAGGCUUUAGAUUACAGGAUUAUAAAGAUACAUGUGUGCUUGUGUAUGCAAAGUUUUGCAUAUAAACUGACUACUCUAAUGUGUACUAACAAACUAUCAACCAACUGUUUUGUUGCAAUGCUAUACUCAUGUUAAUGUAAUGCAUACUAUUAGAGUCAAUAGUUUUUAUUGUAAAGUGUACUAUAAGCAAUCUUUUUGGGGCGUAUGGCAAAGAAGGCAGAUUUUUCCAAUCUUGACCUUCUAAGAAAUUUUUUAAGAUCAUUUGUUUUUUAUAGUAAAACAAAAUUACAUGUAAAAAUAAGAUAUGGUAUGAUUACCAGUGAGACAACUAUCCAGCAGAGUCCAAAUGACAUGGAUAUAGGCUUUAGAUCACCGAUUGACCAACAGCAAUAAGCAAAACCCAUACCGUAUAUGUAGCGUAAAAAAUACAACAUGACAAGAUGUUGAUUAGGAAUUCAAACGAGACAAACCAAUGUAUAUGGUGACAUUGAUAUAAACAUGUAUUUUCAACUUCCACAAAAAUCAAAUAUUGUUAUUAAGAUUAACCAGUUGUAGUACUUUAAAUGUAGUAGAUUGACAAAACCAACAGUUACUAUAACUACAGACGAAUAUAGCAAUGCUUCAACUUCAUCUUGCCACGCCAUUUUAAAUUAGUAUAAAUCCAGUAUAGUAUGCGAUUGUGAGGAGAUUGAUUAAUAAAGAUUUUACCCCUAUAUCGAGUGUGAUAUGAUGUUUCUCUACUCGAGAAAUUUUCACAUUUAAAACGCGAGCUUUCCGAGAUUUAGUGGUGGCAUUGGAUUCUCUAAUGAUUUUGAGACGAUAUGUAGACAAACGUAAUCUUUCUUUUUCAAUAACCUUGAAAAAGUUGUGAUAUUUCAAUAUAACGUCGUCAUUUUGCCGUGACUUCACAAUAGAAAAUUCAAAGGAAAGAAAGAAAAUAAAAAAAACCACACGUUGAUUAAAAAAAUAAUAAUAGUUCAAGAAAAAGAUAACAAUUAAGGAGAUAUAGAUUCUACCACUGCCUUUAAUGUUAUUCGAUUUUUUUUCACUCAAGACAGUUAAAUUUUCAAAUUUAAAACGCGAGGCUUGC
Long non-coding RNA from Mytilus californianus (California mussel), 2683 nucleotides. RefSeq lists it as uncharacterized. Lineage: Eukaryota; Metazoa; Mollusca; Bivalvia; Mytilida; Mytilidae. The record is from RefSeq and is a predicted model, not a curated record. The transcript is spliced from 2 exons.